RNAcentral lists this ribosomal RNA (456 nucleotides) under uncultured bacterium. RNAcentral's name for it is "bacterial SSU rRNA". It matches the Rfam family "Bacterial small subunit ribosomal RNA", at positions 18 to 473 of the family's 1533-position model. The record is from RNAcentral.
CAUGGCUCAGAACGAACGCUGGCGGCGUGCUUAACACAUGCAAGUCGAACGCGAAAGAUUUCUUCGGAGAUCGAGUAGAGUGGCGCACGGGUGAGUAACGCGUAAGUUAUCUACCUCGGCAUCUGGAAUAACUCACCGAAAGGUGUGCUAAUACCGGAUACGUUGAGUAAUCAAGAAAGGUGGCCUCUGAAUAUGCUACUGUGCUGAGAUGAGCUUGCGUACCAUUAGCUAGUUGGUAGGGUAAUGGCCUACCAAGGCGACGAUGGUUAGCGGGUCUGAGAGGAUGAUCCGCCACACUGGAACUGGAACACGGACCAGACUCCUACGGGAGGCAGCAGUGAGGAAUAUUGCGCAAUGGGGGCAACCCUGACGCAGCGACGCCGCGUGGAUGAUGAAGGCCUUCGGGUCGUAAAAUCCUGUCAAGUGGAAAGAAGUGCAUGGUGGAUAAUACCCAAC